GGGAUAUAGCUCAGCUGGGAGAGCGCUGCGUUCGCAAUGCAGAGGUCGGGGGUUCGAAUCCCCCUAUCUCC
Molecule: transfer RNA, 71 nt
Filed under: marine eukaryotic metagenome
Rfam family: tRNA
About the family: Transfer RNA (tRNA) molecules are approximately 80 nucleotides in length. Their secondary structure includes four short double-helical elements and three loops (D, anti-codon, and T loops). Further hydrogen bonds mediate the characteristic L-shaped molecular structure. tRNAs have two regions of fundamental functional importance: the anti-codon, which is responsible for specific mRNA codon recognition, and the 3' end, to which the tRNAs corresponding amino acid is attached (by aminoacyl-tRNA synthetases). tRNAs cope with the degeneracy of the genetic code in two manners: having more than one tRNA (with a specific anti-codon) for a particular amino acid; and 'wobble' base-pairing, i.e. permitting non-standard base-pairing at the 3rd anti-codon position.
Source: RNAcentral